GCCGAAGUGGCGGAACGGCAGACGCGCUGCGUUCAGGGCGCAGUGCCCUUAUGGGCGUGGGGGUUCAAAUCCCCCCUUCGGCACCA
RNAcentral lists this transfer RNA (86 nucleotides) under Chloroflexota bacterium. RNAcentral's name for it is "tRNA-Leu". It matches the Rfam family "tRNA". Rfam says of the family: Transfer RNA (tRNA) molecules are approximately 80 nucleotides in length. Their secondary structure includes four short double-helical elements and three loops (D, anti-codon, and T loops). RNAcentral also lists the same sequence under 2 other names. The record is from RNAcentral. Lineage: Bacteria; Bacillati; Chloroflexota.